UUCCCCUCAUUUGAUGUCUUUAUUGAUCCUCGCUUGUUGCUAGGGAAUUUCCAAAGUAGCUUCGUCAGUUGUUGUUCAUAUCGAUUCCUUAGGCUAGAUCUCAUAAGAUCAUUGUAUAGGGUCAGUAUACGGGAAUCGAGGAGAUGGGAUAGAUUGUUUUAGAAAUAUGAUUUAUAUGUGUUAAUAAUAUUAGUGGUUUUGCAGGAUCGAGAUAUACAUUAUUAUCACGUGGUUUGAACUAAGAGCUUUCGUACUCUGUGUUCCUUAGGUGAUUGAGUUCACCAGGGAUAUUUGAACUAAGUGUUCACUAGAUGUUUUGAACUAUGUNUGAUUGAGUUCACCAAAGAUAUUUGAACUAAGUGUUCACUAGAUGUUUUGAACUAUGUGUUCGUCAGGGAUAAUUGAACUAAGUGUUCAUUAGGUGUUUUUGAACUAAGUGUUCAUUAGGUGUUUUUGAACUAAGUGUUCAUUAGGUGUUUUUGAACUAGGUGUUCGGUAGGUAUUAUUGAACGGAGUGUGUUCAAUGGGUGUUCUUGAACUAGGUGUUCAUUAAUUAUUUUGAACUGCGUGUUCACCAGAGGUGAUCUAAGAACCAUGGCAACACUAGAAUUUGUGCCAAUUCCUUAGGGCAAUCCUUAGGAAUUAAUGGGAGAAGGGUAAUCGGUUCUUAGGGUAAAUCUUUAUGAAAUAAAGGAAGAUAAUGGGGGUGGGUAAUUGGAUUGAUUGUUUGAUAAUUAAAUAUAAUAAUUAUAUUAUUGUGGGUUGAAAACUCUAUAUGCUCACAAGGCUCCCAAGCCUGACCCUCUCAGUUUUCUAUAUAUUAUAGGUUAUGGCACGAGAGCAUAAGUUGGCUGACAUAACGAGAGAUUUUGGAUAUAGGCCAGNGGGUUGAAAACUCUAUAUGCUCACCAGGCUCCCAAGCCUGACCCUCUCAGUUUUCUAUAUAUUAUAGGUUAUGGCACGAGAGCAUAAGUUGGCUGACAUAACGAGAGAUUUUGGAUUAUAGGCCAGUAGUUAUGAAUAACUGUUGUAAGGUCUAUUUUGUUCUGUUUAUGCUUUUGGUCUGUAUUGAACAUGACAUCCCGAGAUUUUGGUAUAUAAAGAAAAUACAUUUCUUUAAAGAAAUGCUUUGAUAAACUCUUAUCAUAUUUUGUUUUGCGAACACAUUCUGCAACUGUUUUCUUUAAAAGAAUACUCUGAUUUUAAAAACAAAGCAUAAACAAAUUGGUCUUUUCUGGCCGUGAAAAUGGGGAUGUCACAGUUGGUAUCAGAGCAUUAGUUUAAGCGAACUAGGAAUUUGUAGGAAAUUUCUAGACUUAAACUUAGAAUUCUAAGUAUUGAUCGUGAGGAGUGUGUCUAAAAUAUGUUAGGUAGUACUCCUAAAUGGACACAAGCACCGGCUUAUUUUAGGAAUGAUGCCUAAAAUGCUUUUAUGUGCUAAUUGUUUUGUGUGAUAGCUAAAUUGAUGCUAUUAUUUGUUCGGAUCUAUGGUCUGUUACCGACCGGAUCUGGAAACCUUAUGUGUGUAGGAUUCUAAGCGUAUGACUACGAUAUUAGAACUAGCAUCUAAAUGUUUCGGGGUGAUAAGGAGAUUUAUACGUUUAUCGUAAUUAAAGCUUUCUUAUCUUAAAAUUCUCGCGUGGUACACUGAAUGUCUGCUUGGGUGUACAAAGGGUCAUGGUGAAGACUCGUAGAGAAAUUGAGUAAAUAGAGGAAAUGAAAAGGCUUAUGAUAGUGAGUGACACAUAUCGGAAGAUAUCGUAAGAGUGGUAUCUUGCCUUUAGAAUAUGCCUUAUGAAAUAACAGUACGUUUAGGGGAGUACGGUAUGUUUGAAGUACACCUUUGAUUGGUAGGAUGAUGGAGAGAUUGGUGUAAUUCUUUAGGUUGUCUCAUCACCUGGUAUUUCCAUCACCAAUCGAGUUGAAUUAGAAUUGAUGAUUGAAGAUACGCAAUGAGAAACCCUAGUAGAGUCUAGGGAAAUUGCUUAUGAUUAUUUGGACACAUUCGUAUGUGUUAAAUUGUUUUGUGAUUUUAGGACUUGGGGACUGCGAGACAAUACUUGGGACGAGUAUAAGUAGGUGUGAAAGGUAGUAGAUGCAUAUACUACCAGAAGCAUAGGACUCACACUUGGAUCAGUGAAAGUCACAAGGUUACCAAGAAGCUGGUGAUCGAUUUUGUUUAUUCGAGCAUGUCAUUACCCUUGUUUCGGUAAUGAUUAGUGAGAUGGUUGUUAUUCGACCCUAGAGGUCAUAUCAAAUUGAGUCCGACUACGAUGAGUUUGUUACGUGGUUCGGAGAACAAAGUUCGAUGUAGCAUCUGACUGAGGUAAGAAGAUUGAUAUUGAUGCGACCAAUAGUAUCGCGCUCAUUGUUAAAAGAAGUUUCCAGGUAGAAAUGCUACAUGCUGAAAUGUGAUUAUAUCACAUUAGAAUAUGAAGGAAGGUAUAUUCCAUUUUGGAUUUUAACAUUGGAAAAAACCGAGUCUAAGCGUCGCAUCGUGCGAUGAGAGGUCAGUAGAGCACGACCCAUCGGUACGUUGCAAUAUAUAAAGGAAAGUAUUUAUCCUAAGAAGAGGAAGGAGUCCACAAUAAGGAUUUAUUUUGUAACUUGUAAGUUACGAUUUAAAGUCCAAUAUAGUACGAAGAACAAGUGCAAGAUUUAGCAUCGCGGUUAUUACUUAGGAUGGAUAGGUAACAUAUGGAAUCGUUAUACAAGCCCUAUUUCGUUGAUGAUUCCGGGACGUAAUCAUCCUAAAGGGGAGAUAAUUGUAACGCCCGUGGAUCAGGGCUAGUCAAUUUAGAGACGAUAAGCAUCAAAAAUGACUUUUUGAUGGAAGAUUAUUUAGAAGGAUUAAUCUUAACCAAGUUGUAGUAUAUGUCUCAAGGUUUCCGAAAAUAUAAAGAACGCCGAAAUCCGAGUUAUAAUGAAGAAGUUAUGACAUGUCGAAGUUUCGCGACAGAAGCGGCAUGACACAACGCGACGUAAAUAGUGAAUUUACGUUAGAGUGAUAUUUGGCCUUAUUAAUCUAAAUGAAAGUCGUAGAAUACAUUAAACCGAGAGCGUGCAUAAAAAGAACGUCUAAAUCUGACUUCGUAUGAGGAAGUUAUGAUUUUUCGAAGUUUCAGCAUUAGCUGUAUGCAGCCCGAAACUCGAGAUUGAGGUCGAGUGAUAUUUAGCCAAAACUUUCUAAAUGAGAAUUGAAGAUCUCAUCAAUAGUAUUCCAACGAUAAAAAGACAGACAAAAACAGAGUUCAGAUGAAGGAGUUAUGAAUUUCGAACGAAGUUUUCCUGUCCCAGCCUACUAAAAAUAGUAUAUUAUUAAUAUAUUAAACAUAAAUUCAAAAUUAGCCUACAAACUCUAAAUGAAAGUUGUAGAUCUUGUUUUUACCUACGCGUCAAUAUAAAUAAUGUCGAAAACGGAGUUCGUAUGCGAAAGUUAUGAAUUUCUGAACUUCGGGGCACAGAACCCUAAAACUGUUAGAUACCACGACGUGGCAAAAGUGGCCACGACGUGGCAGGGCUUCUGAUGCCUUAUGGAGCCUGACAGAUCAAGUGGACGAUCACGCAUGCAAUGACGUUCAAGCCCACGACGUGGAAAAUGAGAAAACAACCCUAUAAAUAGAUUUGAAGGGGCAGCCGUUUGUGGUUGCCAAAUCUCUCUUCUCUUGCCCAUAUUACAUCAUUUUACGUGCAAUUUUAACCCCCCGAAGCCCCAGUAUCAACUCCGAGACCCGAAGCAAGUCCCGAACCCCGAAGAUCCCGAGAAGAAAAGAGUUUCCGAGCCGAAGCUCUGCCCGCGAGAAGCUCGGUGUGUGAAGAGAUCACAGUUUCACCGAAGGAUACUACUUCUACAAGUCGUAGUGCUGCCCGAUCAUCUUCUUAUCAGGUGAGUGUGUAGUCACUUUCUUCUAACACAUAACUAUUAAGUAGUUGCUAUGAAAUACGUGCUAUGUGUAUAAUAUAUUGUGGUUUAUUUGAGAUGAUUGUGGAAUGGAUGAAUUAUAUAAGUUUUAAUGAGUUAAGCUAUAUAUGUAUUUUGUAUCAAAAAAUAUGUUGGGUAGAACAUGGGUAGAUGAGGUUGUUAGUAGGUGAUAAAAGAUGGGUUGGACCAUGAGAUUAAAGGAUAAAGAGAUAAACUUGUUUUAGAUCUGGAUGUAUGGAUCAGAUCAGGAGGUUAGUUUUAGAUCCGAGAGUAUGGAUCAGAUCAAGAGGUUAGUUUUAGAUCCGAGAGUAUGGAUCAGAUCAAGAGGUUAGUUUUAGAUCUGAGAGUAUGGAUCAGAUCAAGAGGUUAGUUUUAGAUCCGGGAAUAUGGAUUAGGUAAGGAGAUAAAUUUUAGAUCCGGCAGUACGGAUUAUGUAUUUUUGAAUUAUAUGUUCGUUCGAUAAGGUAUCGUGUGUAUAAUCCCUUUUAGGAACGUGAUUUUAAUACGAGUAUUGAUUAAAGUAUGAAAUAUACAUAUGUAUGUGAAGUAUUUGUUAUUGUCCGAAAUACGUGUUAGAUAUAUUUGAUGAUAUACAACGUGCAAAUCGGUUAUGGUUCAAUAUGUGUUAAGAUGUUUGUAUAUGAUAUUAUUACUUAAAACCUUGUGUUAAGUAUACACUAGUUGGCAUUGCCUAAAUGGAGAUAGUAUCAAAAAUUGAUUAUAAGCAUUGUAGGUUUGCCUAGUGAUGGGUUAAGACUUAAAUGGGAUGUUUAGUUCAAUUAAGUUUGGACAUUGGGUAGUCUCUUAUUAAGAGUACGUGUGGGGUGAGAUUGAUGAUUGGUGGAGUAUGUCCUACGUACAGAAUUACAUUUUAUGUACGAAGUCCUUUUCAAAGCUAUGUGUCUUGGGUGCUGCUUGUGCCAGGGUACUAUUAUGUUCUCGGGUACUAGACUUUCGCAUACCAGAGUACUAUAAUGUGCCAGAAGUACUAUCAUGUACAAAGUCUUUUUGACAAUUUUGUGUGUCGGUUACGGGAGCGUACGGGAGUACUAUAGUAGUAUUUACCAAUACUUUUAUUUUGAGAGAGCUUUGGAGUCAGCGUUUCUUUUAUGAAGUGAUCGACCGAGCUUCAUAUGUCAGCAAUUUCUAUCACGAAGUAAUUAAGGGAACUUCGUAGACUGCCUAAUAAAGUGUGUUGGUAAUAGACCACUGCUAGGUAUGUCUGGUGUUAUAUUUCUGGAUAGGGUGCGUCUUAGGGUGAAAUACCUCAUGUAUUCAGGCCAGUGCUAGGCAAAGUUCGAUGCUGGAUAGGGAGAGUGUGGAGGUAUAAUUCCUCAUGAUAGUCGGACCACGCCUAGGCAUUGUUAUCUAGAUAACUACUCCUGACUUAAUUGUAUUGUGGUUCUUUCUUUUACGAACGAAGGUUCGUGGUGAAACUUAUUCCAUUCCCCUCAUUUGAUGUCUUUAUUGAUCCUCGCUUGUUGCUAGGGAAUUUCCGAAGUAGCUUCGUCAGUUGUUGUUCAUAUCGAUUCCUUAGGCUAGAUCUCGUAAGAUCAUUGUAUAGGGUCAGUAUGUGGGGAUCGAUGGGAUGGGAUAGAUUGUUUUAGAAAUAUGAUUUAUAUGUGUUAAUAAUAUUAGUGGUUUUGCAGGAUCGAGAUAUACAUUAUUAUCACGUGGUUUGAACUAAGAGCUUUCGUACUCUGUGUUCCUUAGGUGAUUGAGUUCA
This 5648-nucleotide long non-coding RNA is filed under the name Lactuca sativa (garden lettuce). Its description in RNAcentral is "long non-coding RNA (LSAT_LNC001600)". The record is from RNAcentral. Lineage: Eukaryota; Viridiplantae; Streptophyta; Magnoliopsida; Asterales; Asteraceae.